Molecule: ribosomal RNA, 550 nt
Filed under: Streptomyces hundungensis
Lineage: Bacteria; Bacillati; Actinomycetota; Actinomycetes; Kitasatosporales; Streptomycetaceae
Also listed under: 1 other name
Description: bacterial SSU rRNA
Rfam family: Bacterial small subunit ribosomal RNA
Source: RNAcentral
AUGAAGCCCUUCGGGGUGGAUUAGUGGCGAACGGGUGAGUAACACGUGGGCAAUCUGCCCUUCACUCUGGGACAAGCCCUGGAAACGGGGUCUAAUACCGGAUAACACUCCUCAGGGCAUCUUGAGGGGUUAAAAGCUCCGGCGGUGAAGGAUGAGCCCGCGGCCUAUCAGCUUGUUGGUGGGGUGAUGGCCUACCAAGGCGACGACGGGUAGCCGGCCUGAGAGGGCGACCGGCCACACUGGGACUGAGACACGGCCCAGACUCCUACGGGAGGCAGCAGUGGGGAAUAUUGCACAAUGGGCGAAAGCCUGAUGCAGCGACGCCGCGUGAGGGAUGACGGCCUUCGGGUUGUAAACCUCUUUCAGCAGGGAAGAAGCGAAAGUGACGGUACCUGCAGAAGAAGCGCCGGCUAACUACGUGCCAGCAGCCGCGGUAAUACGUAGGGCGCAAGCGUUGUCCGGAAUUAUUGGGCGUAAAGAGCUCGUAGGCGGCUUGUCACGUCGGAUGUGAAAGCCCGGGGCUUAACCCCGGGUCUGCAUUCGAUACGGG